This 1249-nucleotide long non-coding RNA is filed under the name Marmota monax (woodchuck). Lineage: Eukaryota; Metazoa; Chordata; Mammalia; Rodentia; Sciuridae. The record is from RNAcentral.
GGGAGAACAGUUAUGGAAGUUUAGAAACUUAAAAAUACUUACAUAUUAAUUAGCUUGUUAGAGUUCACAUUUUCAAAUAUCAAUCCACAUCAUAACUGCAUAAAAACUUAAUAAGCCAUAAAAUUUUCAUGAAUAAGUAAAACUAUUCUUUAAUUCAACAGAAAUAAAAAUUCUUAAGUAUCUGGCUAUCUUCUAGAAUUACAGCCCUAUAACAACAUAUAAAAAUGUUUUGGUAACCAAUGGAUAGCAUAUAUAGUGGUGGUCACAUAACAUUAUAAGAGAGCAAAAACUUCCUAUCUAAUAUUUUUACUCUACCUUUUCUUAGAUGCUUACACAAAUAUACUAUUGUGUUCCAAUUGCCUCCAGUUUCAAUUUGUAGCCUAAGAGCAGUAGACUCUACCAUGUGUCCCCAUAUGUGGUUAUAUAUGUGGUUAUACCUUCUAGGUACAAAAUUGCCUGGUGAUUCAUUUCUCAGAACAAGUACCCUUAAAAUUAAAAAAAAAAUUGAAACACAUUUUGCUAAUUUGCCAAGGCUGUUCUCAAACUUGCAAUCGUUCUGCUUUAGCACCUGAGAAGCUGUGAUCACAGGUAUGCCACUGUGCCUGACCAUCCAGAACAUAUCCUCAGUGUUAAGUGAUGCAGGUUUGUAUGUAAAAUAUAGCAGCAUUUUGAGGGCUAUCUGGUGUUCUUUUUAUUCUCUGUAAUUAAGAAUAUAUUUUACAUUAUCAUCUAAUUGCUUAUAUUGUGUGUGAAUGUGUUUUUAUUAGUUUGAAAAAUGUGAAAUUACAGAACUGGCAUGUAGCUCAGUGAAAGAACACUUGCCUAUCAUGUGCAAGGCUGAGUUUGAUCCACAGUACUGCAAAACAAUAACAAACAUAUAUGAAAUUACAACUGUUCAACUUUUUCUAUUGAAAAGCUAGUAUGAGCAGGGCAUUUGUGUGUACCUAUAGUCCCAGCUACUUGUGAUGCUGAAGAAGAGGAUUGCUUAAGCCCAGUAGCUCAAUACCAGCCCGGGCAACAUAGCAGAUCCCAUCUCAAAAAACAACAAUACAAUAAAAAUAGCAACAUGGAAUUAUCUUUUUUGACCUUCAAAUAUAAUUGUAUAUGCAGAUAUGUAUAUAAAAUGAAAGUUUAAUAAAGCAUUACCCACCCUUCCUACAUGGAAUUACUCUGAUAUUUUUUUAUUGUAUUCUAGUCAUUUUUUAAAAUUGUGCUUGCUCCACUACAUUUUUCAUGAUCUACAUGUAGG